RNAcentral lists this long non-coding RNA (1332 nucleotides) under Olea europaea subsp. europaea. Lineage: Eukaryota; Viridiplantae; Streptophyta; Magnoliopsida; Lamiales; Oleaceae. The record is from RNAcentral.
CAUCGCUCAUAAUAUAUAACGAGUUAAUAGUUGACUUCAAUGUUCCAAAAGCUCACAACUUCAAACAACAAGAAUUGCUAUUUUUUUGCUAACAACCAGACAGCAGAUCUGGUUUAUGAUCUUAGUUCGUUUCCCCUUUUGUACAAGAUAAAUGGUCCAAGAAUUUUUCUUUGUCAAGAGGUCCGGCAAUUUGCUAAUUCUAGAUCGGAAAUUUUCAGUUUUGUUUUGAUAAGAGUGAUCGCGGGCUCGGUUUGGAAAAUAUAACGAAGAAUGGAGGUGUAGAAAAAGUAAAAUUUGGAAGAAACCUAGUUGUUGGUAUGUGUGGCAUAGGAAGUAUAGCUCCCCGGAAUUGCUAUUUUUCAUUAAAAUCAUUAUGUCGAUCCGCUUUCAAAGGCACGUCUCUUAUACAUAAAUAUGAUUUCCAUGAUGCAAGUUAUCUGAAAUUCUUUUAAUGAUGAAAAUGAAACCACUGAUUUUCUUUUCCUUUGUAAAUCAGGUUCUGGCACGAGUAAUUUUAAAAUAUGGUGUAUAGUAUUCAUUGACUUUGUAAAAUCAUUUCAUCUGUUUGUAAAGACUAGUUGAUUAAAUCGUCAAAUUGUUAAUGAACUCCCUUUAUUUCAAUGAAUUGAUUUUUGAGCUACUAUGGGUAAAAGAAUUUAACGUUUACACUUAUAUUUGAUUAUAUUAAUUUGCUUAAGAAUUAUGCUUUUAAGUAAUGUUUGAUUACUUUAUUGAAUGUAUACGGUCGAAUAUGGUAGUUUUUGGGAAGCUAAUACACAAUUCCCAUUCUCUUUGCAGCAUAUAUAAGCUACACGACUAUGGGGAAGCAACUCGUAAUAGUAGCAAUAUAAAGUGCUUCACCACUUCCAAAAAGAGUAGAUGGCAACAUAAAUAAACUCAACUUUUUAUGGAAAAAAAGCCGUGAACAACAACUUGAGAUCUUGGCUUGAGUUACAAGUACUAUCAAAAUCUCAAGUCACGUGCUUCCUCCAUCAUGACCAUCACCAUAUAAAAGAAAGUUGUGGUAUCAUAUGUCAAGGUUCUGUCCGUUGGAAACCAAUAUCAACGAGUAUUUAUUUACUAUGAGAAGAAAUAUUGAGGAAUUUCUAAUGAGGAUAGAAUAUGAAUAUCAUUUGUGUUAUGCAAAUAAAUUUAUCAAGAGAUAGAGACGAAUUAUUCAAAUGCUACUAUGAAUAUUAGCUGGAAUCAUGUGUAUUAGCUGAAAAUAUAUACCAGAAAUAUACUUCUUUGUGCUGUCCAAUUUCUACAUGCUAAAUAUGUCCUCAUAGUUGGAAUUAUACCAGAUCUGCAAUGAGCAUUGCUAAAUCUAGC